RNAcentral lists this long non-coding RNA (867 nucleotides) under Homo sapiens (human). RNAcentral describes it as "HSALNT0049852". Lineage: Eukaryota; Metazoa; Chordata; Mammalia; Primates; Hominidae. The record is from RNAcentral.
CCCCUGGCGUGGGCACAGGCAAGGUGAGGGCUCUGCGGGCGCGCGCCCUGUGGUGGGGCCAUGCUCCGCCCUGGGUCCCUACCCUGGUGGAGGCGCCUGGGCCCUCAGUGCCGUCCUGGGACAGACCUGUGUCCCUAAGGCCUGAGACGCUGGGCCCGCCCUGAAGGCGUGUCAUCACGCGGGGGGCGGGAGGGGACCCUGGCCAGGCAGUGCCUGAAUGAACCCGUUCCGUGCUGCCCCCUUCCCAGCCCUGAGCAUGGGGACGCCAGGCUUCCAGCCACAGGGGCAGACUAACCCCGGAGCCCACUCCCUGCCUGGGUCUGUGUGAGGAAGAGCCCGGGCCGGAGACUAGGAGGCAUGGAACAAAGUGUUUGCAUCUGCGUGGCCGCAUCAGGAGAAAUUCCUGGGAGGCUCGGGACCUCGGGGCGACCCCUGGAAAAACCUGGCAGCCCUCUACCCUCUUUUCAGUGCAUUUGGGGCCUGGCUGGAAGGCCCCUCCGAGGUAGACCCUGAGAGUACCCUCCCCUUGGGAACAUCACGGAUCUGCGCCGCCUCCACCAGGCUGGCCUCAGGGGCUGCUCCCUCGAGUACCCUGGCCCUGCUGGACCGUGGCUGGGGAUGGCAGCAAGGAGAUGGACAUGGCACUCCCAGAGCCGUGGCUGCUGCAGGUGCUCAAAGGGCUGCUGCGAGAACAGAGGGAGAGCUCUCCAAACCCCAGCACGGUUCUCAGUCAUCAUGAGACCGGAACACAGAGGCCCACACACGACCGCUGGACAUGUUUAAGAAAAUGCCAAUGUAUUUCCACUAGAAAAAUCCUCUUUUCCUAAAUACAUGUCUCUAUGUUGAAUAAGUUAAAAUAGCAUCUCC